CCCUUAGAUGUUCUGGGCCGCACACGCGCUACACUGAAGGAGGCAGCGUGUACUCCUGAAUCGAAAGAUUUGGGUAACCCGCGAAUCUCCUUCGUGCUAGGGAUUGAGGUUUGCAAUUAUCCUUCAUGAACGAGGAAUUCCCAGUAAGUGCAAGUCAUAAGCUUGCGCUGACUACGUCCCUGCCCUUUGUACACACCGCCCGUCGCUACUACCGAUUGAAUGAUUUAGUGAGGACUUCGGACUGGGACCGAUGCGGCUUUCGGGCUGCGUCGGUAUUCUGGAAAGAUGUCCAAACUGUAUCAUUUAGAGGAAGUAAAAGUCGUAACA
RNAcentral lists this ribosomal RNA (327 nucleotides) under uncultured eukaryote. Its description in RNAcentral is "partial 18S ribosomal RNA". It matches the Rfam family "Eukaryotic small subunit ribosomal RNA", at positions 1470 to 1796 of the family's 1831-position model. The record is from RNAcentral.